UUAGUGGAAGCGUCUGGAAAGGCGCGCGAUACAGGGUGACAGCCCCGUACACAAAAGCGCAUGUGCUGUGAGCUCGAUGAGUAGGGCGGGACACGUGGUAUCCUGUCUGAAUAUGGGGGGACCAUCCUCCAAGGCUAAAUACUCCUGACUGACCGAUAGUGAACCAGUACCGUGAGGGAAAGGCGAAAAGAACCCCGGCGAGGGGAGUGAAAAAGAACCUGAAACCGUGUACGUACAAGCAGUGGGAGCACAGGUUUACCUGUGUGACUGCGUACCUUUUGUAUAAUGGGUCAGCGACUUAUAUUCUGUAGCAAGGUUAACCGWAUAGGGGAGCCGGAGGGAAACCGAGUCUUAAYYGGGCGUUAAGUUGCAGGGUAUAGACCCGAAACCCGGUGAUCUAGCCAUGGGCAGGUUGAAGGUUGGGUAACACUAACUGGAGGACCGAACCGACUAAUGUUGAAAAAUUAGCGGAUGACCUGUGGCUGGCCGGAGAAUGUUAUCACGGGAGACACACGGCGGGUGCUAACGUCCGUCGUGAAGAGGGAAACAACCCAGACCGCCAGCUAAGGUCCCAAAGUCAUGGUUAAGUGGGAAACGAUGUGGGAAGGCCCAGACAGCCAGGAUGUUGGCUUAGAAGCAGCCAUCAUUUAAAGAAAGCGUAAUAGCUCACUGGUCGAGUCGGCCUGCGCGGAAGAUGUAACGGGGCUAAACCAUGCACCGAAGCUGCGGCAGCGACACUCAGGUGUUGUUGGGUAGGGGAGCGUUCUGUAAGYCUGCGAAGGUGGCCUGUGAGGGUUGCUGGAGGUAUCAGAAGUGCGAAUGCUGACAUAAGUAACGAUAAAGCGGGUGAAAAGCCCGCUCGCCGGAAGACCAAGGGUUCCUGUCCAACGUUAAUCGGGGCAGGGUGAGUCGACCCCUAAGGCGAGGCCGAAAGGCGUAGUCGAUGGGAAACGGGUUAAUAUUCCCGUACUUGGUGUUACUGCGAAGGGGGGACGGAGAAGGCUAUGUUGGCCGGGCGACGGUUGUCCCG
RNAcentral lists this ribosomal RNA (1030 nucleotides) under Salmonella enterica subsp. enterica serovar Infantis. Its description in RNAcentral is "partial 23S ribosomal RNA". Lineage: Bacteria; Pseudomonadati; Pseudomonadota; Gammaproteobacteria; Enterobacterales; Enterobacteriaceae. The record is from RNAcentral.